UACGUAGGGUGCGAGCGUUGUCCGGAAUUAUUGGGCGUAAAGAGCUUGUAGGCGGUCUGUCGCGUCUGCUGUGAAAAUCCGGGGCUCAACCCCGGACUUGCAGUGGGUACGGGCAGACUAGAGUGCGGUAGGGGUGACUGGAAUUCCUGGUGUAGCGGUGGAAUGCGCAGAUAUCAGGAGGAACACCGGUGGCGAAGGCGGGUCUCUGGGCAACAACUGACGCUGAGGAGCGAAAGCGUGGGGAGCGAACAGG
Molecule: ribosomal RNA, 253 nt
Filed under: uncultured bacterium
Lineage: Bacteria
Description: partial 16S ribosomal RNA
Rfam family: Bacterial small subunit ribosomal RNA
Source: RNAcentral